RNAcentral lists this ribosomal RNA (253 nucleotides) under uncultured prokaryote. RNAcentral's name for it is "partial 16S ribosomal RNA". It matches the Rfam family "Bacterial small subunit ribosomal RNA", at positions 524 to 776 of the family's 1533-position model. The record is from RNAcentral.
GACAGAGGGUGCAAACGUUGUUCGGAAUUACUGGGCGUAAAGCGUGUGUAGGCGGUCUGCUAAGUCGGGUGUGAAAGCCCCGGGCUCAACCCGGGAACUGCGUCCGAGACUGGCAGGCUCGAAUCCGGGAGAGGGAUGUGGAAUUCCAGGUGUAGCGGUGAAAUGCGUAGAUAUCUGGAGGAACACCGGUGGCGAAGGCGGCAUCCUGGACCGGUAUUGACGCUGAGGCGCGAAAGCUAGGGGAGCGAACGGG